CCUACGGGAGGCAGCAGUGGGGAAUAUUGGACAAUGGGCGAAAGCCUGAUCCAGCAAUGCCGCGUGAGUGAUGAAGGCCUUCGGGUCGUAAAGCUCUUUUACCAGGGAUGAUAAUGACAGUACCUGGAGAAUAAGCUCCGGCUAACUCCGUGCCAGCAGCCGCGGUAAUACGGAGGGAGCUAGCGUUGUUCGGAAUUACUGGGCGUAAAGAGUACGUAGGCGGUUAUUCAAGUCAGAGGUGAAAGCCCGGGGCUCAACCCCGGAACUGCCUUUGAAACUAGAUAGCUAGAGUCUUGGAGAGGUUAGUGGAAUUCCGAGUGUAGAGGUGAAAUUCGUAGAUAUUCGGAAGAACACCAGUGGCGAAGGCGACUAACUGGACAAGUACUGACGCUGAGGUACGAAAGCGUGGGGAGCAAACAGGAUUAGAUACCCUGGUAGUCCACGCCGUAAACGAUGAUAACUAGUUGUUCGGUCACUUGGUGACUGAGUGACGCAGCUAACGCAUUAAGUUAUCCGCCUGGGGAGUACGGUCGCAAGAUUAAAACUUAAAGGAAUUGACGA
RNAcentral lists this ribosomal RNA (561 nucleotides) under uncultured bacterium. RNAcentral's name for it is "bacterial SSU rRNA". It matches the Rfam family "Bacterial small subunit ribosomal RNA", at positions 338 to 916 of the family's 1533-position model. The record is from RNAcentral.